This 279-nucleotide ribosomal RNA is filed under the name uncultured bacterium. RNAcentral's name for it is "partial 16S ribosomal RNA". It matches the Rfam family "Bacterial small subunit ribosomal RNA", at positions 506 to 784 of the family's 1533-position model. The record is from RNAcentral.
UGCCAGCAGCCUCGGUAAUACGGGGGGGGCAAGCGUUAUUCGGAAUUACUGGGCGUAAAGAGCGUGUAGGCGGAUAGAUAAGUUGGAAGUGAAAUCCUAUGGCUCAACCAUAGAACUGCUUCCAAAACUGUCUAUCUAGAAUAUGGGAGAGGUAGAUGGAAUUUCUGGUGUAGGGGUAAAAUCCGUAGAGAUUGGAAGGAACACCGAUGGCGAAGGCACUUUACUGGGCUAUUACUAACACUCAGAGACGAAAGAUAGGGUAGCAAAUGGGAUUAGAUA